UACGGAGGGUGCAAGCAUUAAUCGGAAUUAUUGGGCGUAAAGGGCGCGUAGGCGGGUAAGUAAGUCAGAUGUGAAAUUCCGGGACUCAAUUCCGGAGCUGCAUUUGAAACUGCUUGUCUUGAGGAUUGGCGGUGAGAACGGAAUUCCACGUGUAGCGGUGAAAUGCGUAGAUAUGUGGAAGAACACCGGUGGCGAAAGCGGUUCUCUAGCUAAUAACUGACGCUGAGGCGCGAGAGCAAGGGGAUCAAACAGG
This 253-nucleotide ribosomal RNA is filed under the name uncultured bacterium. RNAcentral's name for it is "partial 16S ribosomal RNA". It matches the Rfam family "Bacterial small subunit ribosomal RNA", at positions 524 to 776 of the family's 1533-position model. The record is from RNAcentral.